This 328-nucleotide ribosomal RNA is filed under the name uncultured eukaryote. RNAcentral's name for it is "partial 18S ribosomal RNA". It matches the Rfam family "Eukaryotic small subunit ribosomal RNA", at positions 1470 to 1796 of the family's 1831-position model. The record is from RNAcentral.
CCCUUAGAUGUCCGGGGCUGCACGCGCGCUACACUGAAGGAAUCAGCGUGCUAAAACCAUUGUCGAAAGGCAUUGGUAAACCCAUUAAAAUCCUACGUGAUUGGGAUCGGGAAUUGCAAUUAUUUCCCUUGAACGAGGAAUUCCCAGUAAGUGUGGGUCAUAAGCUCGCGUUGAUUACGGCCCUGCCCUUUGUACACACCGCCCGUCGCUGCCCGGGACUGAGCCGUUUCGAGAAAAGCGGGGACUGCUGCUGUCGGGGCUUUCGGGCCUUGGCUUCGGUGGAAACCGCUUUAAUCGCAGUGGCUUGAACCGGGCAAAAGUCGUAACA